UAAGGAAUAUUGGUCAAUGGACGCAAGUCUGAACCAGCCAUGCCGCGUGAAGGAUGAAGGUCCUCUGGAUUGUAAACUUCUUUUAUCUGGGACGAAAACGGGAUUUUUAUCUCAAUUGACGGUACCAGAGGAAUAAGCACCGGCUAACUCCGUGCCAGCAGCCGCGGUAAUACGGAGGGUGCGAGCGUUAUCCGGAUUUACUGGGUUUAAAGGGUGCGUAGGUGGGCGUAUAAGUCAGUGGUGAAAUCUCCGAGCUUAACUUGGAAACUGCCGUUGAUACUAUAGGUCUUGAAUUAUCUGGAGGUAAGCGGAAUAUGUCAUGUAGCGGUGAAAUGCUGAGAUAUGACAUAGAACACCAAUUGCGAAGGCAGCUUACUACAUAUAAAUUGACGCUGAGGCACGAAAGCGUGUGGAUCAAACA
This 421-nucleotide ribosomal RNA is filed under the name uncultured bacterium. RNAcentral describes it as "bacterial SSU rRNA". It matches the Rfam family "Bacterial small subunit ribosomal RNA", at positions 355 to 774 of the family's 1533-position model. The record is from RNAcentral.